RNAcentral lists this ribosomal RNA (170 nucleotides) under Alternaria sp. AmC4. RNAcentral's name for it is "5.8S ribosomal RNA". It matches the Rfam family "5.8S ribosomal RNA". From Rfam's summary of the family: 5.8S ribosomal RNA (5.8S rRNA) is a component of the large subunit of the eukaryotic ribosome. The record is from RNAcentral. RNAcentral also lists the same sequence under 1 other name. Lineage: Eukaryota; Fungi; Ascomycota; Dothideomycetes; Pleosporales; Pleosporaceae.
AACUUUCAACAACGGAUCUCUUGGUUCUGGCAUCGAUGAAGAACGCAGCGAAAUGCGAUAAGUAGUGUGAAUUGCAGAAUUCAGUGAAUCAUCGAAUCUUUGAACGCAUAUUGCGCCCUUUGGUAUUCCAAAGGGCAUGCCUGUUCGAGCGUCAUUUGUACCCUCAAGCU